ACAUGCCUAAACUAGUUGUAGAAUUAUUCUAGUAACUGUCUAGAAUAGAUUUUAUAUUGAAUAGUUCAAUUUAAAUCUUAUUUUUCAGAUAUUAUAUGUGAUGUAUCAGAUCUGAAAGCAUGCUAAUUAGAUCAGAUUUUAAUACAUGAGAUGUAUGCAAAGCAUGUAUAAGUUAGAUCUGAAAUUAUAUAUGUGAUAUGUAACUU
RNAcentral lists this long non-coding RNA (206 nucleotides) under Elaeis guineensis (African oil palm). Its description in RNAcentral is "long non-coding RNA (EGUI_LNC036719)". Lineage: Eukaryota; Viridiplantae; Streptophyta; Magnoliopsida; Arecales; Arecaceae. The record is from RNAcentral.